Molecule: ribosomal RNA, 301 nt
Filed under: uncultured bacterium
Lineage: Bacteria
Description: partial 16S ribosomal RNA
Rfam family: Bacterial small subunit ribosomal RNA
Source: RNAcentral
CAGCCGCCGCGGGAAAACGUAGGUGGCAAGCGUUGUCCGGAAUUAUUGGGCGUAAAGGGCUCGCAGGCGGUUUCUUAAGUCUGAUGUGAAAGCCCCCGGCUCAACCGGGGAGGGUCAUUGGAAACUGGGAAACUUGAGUGCAGAAGAGGAGAGUGGAAUUCCACGUGUUGCGGUGAAAUGCGUAGAGAUGUGGAGGAACACCAGUGGCGAAGGCGACUCUCUGGUCUGUAACUGACGCUGAGGAGCGAAAGCGUGGGGAGCGAACAGGAUUAGAUACCCCGGUAGUCCCUGUCUCUUAUAC